CGAACGCUGGCGGCAUGCCUAACACAUGCAAGUCGAACGCGACCUUCGGGUCUAGUGGCGCCCGGGUGCGUAACGCGUGGGAACCUGCCCUUAGGUUCGGAAUAACUCCCCGAAAGGGGUGCUAAUACCGGAUAAUGUCUUCGGACCAAAGAUUUAUCGCCUUUGGAUGGGCCCGCGUUGGAUUAGCUAGUUGGUAGGGUAAAAGCCUACCAAGGCGACGAUCCAUAGCUGGUCUGAGAGGAUGAUCAGCCACACUGGGACUGAGACACGGCCCAGACUCCUACGGGAGGCAGCAGUGGGGAAUAUUGGACAAUGGGCGAAAGCCUGAUCCAGCAAUGCCGCGUGAGUGAUGAAGGCCUUAGGGUUGUAAAGCUCUUUUACCCGGGAUGAUAAUGACAGUACCGGGAGAAUAAGCUCCGGCUAACUCCGUG
This 431-nucleotide ribosomal RNA is filed under the name uncultured bacterium. Its description in RNAcentral is "partial 16S ribosomal RNA". It matches the Rfam family "Bacterial small subunit ribosomal RNA", at positions 30 to 507 of the family's 1533-position model. The record is from RNAcentral.